RNAcentral lists this ribosomal RNA (252 nucleotides) under uncultured bacterium. RNAcentral's name for it is "partial 16S ribosomal RNA". It matches the Rfam family "Bacterial small subunit ribosomal RNA", at positions 524 to 776 of the family's 1533-position model. The record is from RNAcentral.
UACGUAGGGGGCAAGCGUUGUCCGGAAUCAUUGGGCGUAAAGCGCGUGUAGGCGGUCCGAUAAGUUCGCUGUGAAAGUCGGGGGCUUAACCCUCGGAUGCCGGUGAAUACUGUCGGGCUUGAGUACGGAAGAGGCGAGUGGAAUUCCUGGUGUAGCGGUGAAAUGCGCAGAUAUCAGGAGGAACACCAAUUGCGAAGGCAGCUCGCUGGGACGUUACUGACGCUGAGACGCGAAGCGUGGGGAGCAAACAGG